GACCGCGUAGUUCAGAUGGCAGAGCAUUGGGCUGGUAUUCCAAAGGUCGUAGGUUCGAUUCCCACCGUGGCCG
Molecule: transfer RNA, 73 nt
Filed under: Paramuricea clavata
Lineage: Eukaryota; Metazoa; Cnidaria; Anthozoa; Malacalcyonacea; Plexauridae
Rfam family: tRNA
About the family: Transfer RNA (tRNA) molecules are approximately 80 nucleotides in length.
Source: Rfam by way of RNAcentral